This 323-nucleotide RNase P RNA is filed under the name Chryseobacterium scophthalmum. Its description in RNAcentral is "RNase P RNA component class A". It matches the Rfam family "Bacterial RNase P class A". Rfam says of the family: Ribonuclease P (RNase P) is a ubiquitous endoribonuclease, found in archaea, bacteria and eukarya as well as chloroplasts and mitochondria. Its best characterised activity is the generation of mature 5'-ends of tRNAs by cleaving the 5'-leader elements of precursor-tRNAs. Cellular RNase Ps are ribonucleoproteins. The record is from RNAcentral. Lineage: Bacteria; Pseudomonadati; Bacteroidota; Flavobacteriia; Flavobacteriales; Weeksellaceae.
CGAGAAAAUCGGCUUGUUGAUUCUUGUUUCGGCAAGGGUAGGAAAGUCCGGACACCAUAGAGCAGCAAAGCGGAUAACAUCCGUCAUCCGUGAGGAUAGGACAAGUGCAACAGAAAGCAGGUACAGUUCGGCUGUAGUGAAACCAGGUAAACUCUUUGCGGUGCAAUGAUAAGUAUAUCGGUUCUUUUCAGUAAUGAAAAUAGGGGCGGCUCGCUCUGAAAGCCGAGGGGUAAUCAGCUCAAGUUUUGCAGCAAUGUAAAACGUAGAUAAAUAACAGGCACUUUUUUAAAGUACAAAAUCCGGCUUAUAGAUUUUCUCGUGUU